UGGCUCAGUGGUAGAGCGCUUGCCUUGCAUGCAUGAGGCCCUGAGUUUGAUUCCUCAG
This is a non-coding RNA of Dipodomys ordii (Ord's kangaroo rat), 58 nucleotides long. The record is from Rfam. NCBI's taxonomy places the organism in Eukaryota, Metazoa, Chordata, Mammalia, Rodentia, Heteromyidae.